GCUGCUCAUUUUGGCAGCAUAUACAAAACCUAAAUUGGAAUGAUAUGGAGAAGAAUUGCAUGGUCCUUGUGUAAAUAUGACAAACAAAUUCUAGAAGUGUUCCAUACUUUU
This 111-nucleotide small nuclear RNA is filed under the name Sciurus vulgaris (Eurasian red squirrel). Lineage: Eukaryota; Metazoa; Chordata; Mammalia; Rodentia; Sciuridae. The record is from RNAcentral.